CCUGUUUUUGAUUGUCAAUGAAGCGGUUUUCGCUUUGAGAGAGUACAAGAUGAUUUUAGAUAUUCAAAGGGAUUGUUUCUGGUCUUCAUCAGAGGCAAUCACAGGUUGGGCUAAUUGAAUCAUGCUAAGGGAAUCCUAUAUGUAUUUUUUCUGUGUGGCAUUCAUCAGUUUGGGUUUAUACUGAAACAACCACAGUUGAAACCUUCCUGGAGUGAACCAUGAUGUUUAUAUUGCACAAUUUUAUACUACUGGGAUCAACUUAAAAAAAAAAAAAAAAAAAAAAAAGAAGUAUAAGCCAGAUCCAAAGCUUCUAUGGGGCUAUGGAGGUUUCGAUGUUUCAUCUACAGACAGUUGGAUUCACUUCUUUCAAAGACGAGAGACUUCUUUGAAAGUGGGGAUUAUGUUCUUCUAGCAAACAUGUAUGCAAGUGCUGGCCAAUGGAACAAAGUGACAAGAGUGAGAGAGGCAAUGAGAAACAGAGGAGUUCAGAAACCAGAGCCAGGUAACAGCCUCAUCGAGCUACAUCCAACAAUUUAGCUUGAAUGAGAAUCAACCAGAAAAUGGAAUGAAGCAGUUGGCACUACAAAAACAUGAGUU
This is a long non-coding RNA of Magnolia sinica, 597 nucleotides long. RefSeq lists it as uncharacterized. The record is from RefSeq and is a predicted model, not a curated record. Lineage: Eukaryota; Viridiplantae; Streptophyta; Magnoliopsida; Magnoliales; Magnoliaceae. The transcript is spliced from 3 exons.